Ostrea edulis (European flat oyster) is the source of this 4309-nucleotide long non-coding RNA. RefSeq lists it as uncharacterized. The transcript is spliced from 2 exons. The record is from RefSeq and is a predicted model, not a curated record. Lineage: Eukaryota; Metazoa; Mollusca; Bivalvia; Ostreida; Ostreidae.
GGAUUGGUCUAUAUCUAUCUAUCUAUCUUAUCUAUAUAUGUAUCCAUCUAUCUUAUCUAUCUAUCUAUCUAUCUAUCUAUCUAUAUUAGAUUGGUGUCAGGUUGCCUUUGCCAUAUUGCAUUUCGUGCGCUAAAUCUAUUAAUCACCACGUGCUUUUCAAUUUUGAUUGAAACAUAAUGUACUUCUCAAAGAGUGACAAAGUUGUGAGAGAAUUAAGCCAAUGACGUUCUAUUAGAUAUGCCUGCAAAUAUUAAACAGUAAACAAGUAAUAAUGGGUUAUUUGUACAACGUAUGAUGUGCAAUUGAGCAUGCAAACAUGCUUUAUAUUUGCAGCUCUUACCCCCCAAAGCGGAGUUUUGCGGAGUACACAGAUAUAAUUCGUCAUCAUGGAUAGCGAACAUUGAAAAAGAAGAGAAGGACUCACUUGUUGAGGAAGAUAAACAAUGAACAUGCUAAAGACCGGAGGUGGGAUACGGGAAAAUUAUUCAUGCUCAACAUGCAAUAUCUGAAAUCAUCAAAAUAGGAAGAGACCUCUGGAAACAUAUGACUACAUUGAAUGGAGUGAUUGGAUAUUUUAUGGAAGCAAUGUUAUUUUCAUUGAAAACAAUUUUAGAGAACAUUCACCAUGAAAAAGUGAAUAUAACGAACAUUGAUCAAUCUCAUAACUCCUAUAAAGAAUACAAAAUAAGAGUAGGUCAAACACGGAUCUCUAAACAUACCAGAGUUUGGAUUAGACUUGAUGUAAAUGUACGUCAACAGUUUUAACAGUUUAUCAAUAAAAAAUAGAGCAUAUGAUCUAACAGAUAUUGGAUCAACCAUAUUGCAUAUUGAUACAGUGAUGCACACAGUAAAGAGAUGUGAUAUGAAGGUUUAUUUGAGAACAGUCUAUACCGAUAUAACCAGGGAACUGCGUUGCAUACAGCAGCAUAGAGGGGAAACAUGGAACUUUUGAAAUACAAUAUUGAAUAAAGAUAGAUAAUAUAUUUGACAAAAUAGUAUAGCACUUUUCAGAGAUUGUUACGGUCAUCUCAAGGGGAAAGGUGUUUUGUGAUCGACAACGAAUAACUGUUGAGGGUCUAAUACAAUCUUGACAGUUUUUUACUUCAUCGCGCAGCAGAAACUGGCAAUAUAAUAUCAUUCAAAUUAAUUUUGGGCCAUCCUGUGUAUGAGAUUACGAUGAUGACUUACCAAACUCAAUCCUGAAUCGGACGUUCAUUUUAAAACGUUUAAGGAUAUUUAAAUAUACAUGUACCUAUGUUUAAGGACUAUAAUUGUCUUAAAGACAUUGCGUUGGAUCCAGAUACUAUAUACUUUAACUUUAUUAUCAAUCAGUAUAGCCACAUGAUAGCUCUAUAUAUUUAUAUGGGUGCAGCAUCACAUGACGUGUACAAAUUGACAGGCUGUUCUUUACGCCUAAUCCCAUCUCUGGUAUAUCCAGUGUUCCGUGUUUGCCCAAAACCAGUUUGAAUUGCUUACAGUGAUUGAUUACUGUUCGUUAUUGUCACAUUUUUAUUUAUCACUGUUCGCUAUAUUCACAUUUUGGAAAAAGUGUGAAGAUGCACGGCAAUUUCAAUUCUUUACGAUUGCAAAUACGACCGCAAAAUACUACCAAACGUUUAAAGGGGCAUGUGCUUUUUUUGUCAAUAUCCAAUAAGAUUAAUGAUAAUAUCAUUUAUUCAUACAGGAUUGCACAAUUAGCUAUAUAAUCCAGUUUACUUUAUGGUCUACUCUAUAACAUAUAUACAUAUCGAGAAAAUGCAUCACAAAACAUGGAAAUAUCACAGUUUAUACACUUAUAAUUAAGAGUGUUCAAUUCAUUGAUACUUACAUAAGACUUAUCACUUAUUUCAUGAUGCAUUCCUCUUUGCAUUAUACAAAACUUGCAUGAUCAAGAGAGAGACUUUACCACAUGACUAGAAAAACUACUCCACUAGCGAGACAGUAAAAGAUCCCUAUAUACUGUCUGCUACACUAGUUUUUAGACGGGGUCACGUGACCCCGUGUAUUAGUUUACUGUCAGUCGAGGCCUCAAAAUGGAAGCCGUGCCGAGAACACAUGAAUUGAAUCUACGUGGAAGAAAAGAGUGCAUAAAUUGCGCUGAUCAUUUUGUACACAGGUUUGAAAAAUAUAAGAUCAAUAUUUUGAAGAAAAAAAAAUCUUUUGAUUUUUCAUUGAUUUUUUUAGAUGAAUUUGAAUUAUCUUUCAAACAGAAACGAUUGUUGUUUUCAUGAGCAAAUAUUCUUACUUUGUUUACAUCCGGUCCUUUUUACGGAAGAAACCGAAAAUACACUAAUGUAUCCGGAGUUUAUCGUGUUAUUUAUUCUAUGCACGCAAAAAUAGUUUUAAUGCAAGCCACCCCCCCCCCCGACAAUUAUACAGGCGAGUUCUUUUGGACGUUUUUCUUAUUUAUUUUGAGAUCAAAGUCUCUUUUUCACUAUAGACUGUAGAUUUGAGCUUGCCUUUAACUUUUAUACAUAUCCUUGCUCGUGCAUGUUUAUCAGACUUCAAAUCCUGAUAACUUUCAAAAUUCAUGUUGCUUUUGAAAUCCAAAAGGUCAAGGUCAUUAUCACACUUUAUACCUAUUGCUGCCAUUCAAAGCUUCAUACUUAUAAACUAUAUAAAAUACGUGCAUGUUUUUACUUCGUGAAUGCAAGCGUGCAUAAUUUUUCCAAACUACAACUCGGCCAUACACAUGCUUGAUGCAUAAUAUGAUGAAAUUAUAUCAUUUACAAAUCUUAAUAUUAUAGCAUUUAAAAAAUGUCUGGCUUGUGGAAUUGUAUAUUUAUGGUUGAGUAUCACGUGUAGAUAUCUGUCAUUGCAUAGGAAACUUCUAGUCCUAAUGUGUGUCAAAAAAAUUGAAAUUAUGUAAAUAAUUUGUUAAAAUGUUUACAAUUUCCAUGUUAAUAUUCUUAAGUCGUAGUAGUUUAGAAACUAUUUUAAUGCCCCCGAGAUCGACGAUCAGGGGGCAUAUUGUUUUUGUCCUGUCUGUCAUUCUCUAAUUCUGUAAUUCUGUAAUUCUGUCUGAAACUUUGACUUUGAUAAUAACUUUUGAACAGUAAGUGAUAGAGCUUUGAUAUUUCACAUGAUUAUUCCUUAUGGCAAGACCUUUUCGUGGGUAUCAACAUUUUUUUACCCUGUGACCUUGGAGUUUGACUUACUUUUUAAAAACUUUAACCUAACCAAUAACUUUUGAAAAGUAAGAGCUAGAGCUUUGAUAUUUUAUUUGAGUAUUUCUAGUGAUAAGACCUUUUCGUUGGUACCAACAUUUUUGACCCUUGACCUUGGAGUUUAACCUACUUUUUGAAAAUGUUAACCUUGCUAAUAACUUUUGAACAGUAAAUGAGAGAGCUUUGAUAUUUCACAUGAGUAUUCCUUAUGAGAAGACCUUUCUGCUUGUUCUAAACUUUUGGACCUUGACAUUUGACCUACAUUUAAAAAGAUUGACAUUGUUCAUAACCUCUAAAUGGUAAAUAUUAGAGCUUUCAUAUUGCAUCUGAGCAUUUCUUGUAACAAGAUCUUUCUACUGGUACCAAGAUAUUUGUCUUUGUAACCUUUGCCAUCUUCGGAAUUGGCCCUUAUCGGAGGCAUUUUGUGUUUCACAAACAAAUCUUGUUUUAUACGAGUUUGGAGUGUUUAUAUGUCCAUAUCAUUAUAAUCUUUUCUGUGAUACUGAAAAUAGCGAUCAAAACCCAGCAUUGCAAUUUAUUUAACUCUGAUGGGCCAUCAAUUUACAUUAUUAACUCAAAAUCUCACAUGGCAACAGUAUUAUAUUCUUUACAUAAUCAUAGUUUACUGUUCUGUAUAGAUGUUAUUACUAUUCAACAGUAAUGCUUUUACAAUUGUUAAUUGUCCAAAUACUGGUAUAUGCAUGAUAUUCUAAUAUGUCUCAACGUGUAGUACUUCAUGUUAUAUUGUUUCAUUUGAGAAGACAGUCUGGCUUGUGGACGUGGUUUCCAUUGGAUAGGAUACUUCUAGCCCAAAUGUGUGUCAAAAAAUUUGAAAUCACUAUGUUGCCAAUUUUGUUUACAAUUUACAUGUUCUUGUUUUAGUAGUUUAGAAAAUGUUUUUUGCUAAAGAAAGAACUGGAGUGUUUACAUAUCCACUUGCUUUUAACCUUUCAUGUGUUAUUGACAGGUUGUAUGGUGCUAUUCCAAAGUAUACCAUUAUCAAUUUUAUUUUUAACAUUUGGUUUCAUUAUGUUGGUUCAUAAAAACAAGAUAUUACCGGUAAAAAUAUACUGUCAUAUGUCGACAUAUCAUAUGUUAUCCUUAAGUUCUAUUGAGAUAUUAAACUUUGUUACAUACCUUUA